RNAcentral lists this ribosomal RNA (460 nucleotides) under uncultured bacterium. RNAcentral describes it as "partial 16S ribosomal RNA". It matches the Rfam family "Bacterial small subunit ribosomal RNA", at positions 338 to 795 of the family's 1533-position model. The record is from RNAcentral.
CCUACUGGAGGCAGCAGUGAGGAAUAUUGGUCAAUGGCCGGAAGGCUGAACCAGCCAUGCCGCGUGAAGGUCAGUGCCCUAUGGGCGUUAACAUUCUUUUGUGCGGGAGCAAUAAUGGUCACGUGUGGCCAGACGAGAGUACCGUACGAAUAAGAAUCGGCUAACUCCGUGCCAGCAGCCGCGGUAAUAAGGGGGAUGCAAGGGUUCUCCGGAAUUAUUGCGUUUAAAGGGUGCGUAGGCUGGGGGGUUAGUCAGCGGGGAAAUGCCCCCGCUCAACGGGGUGAAGUGCCAUUGAUACUGUCUGGCUGGAAUGCGGAUGCCGUGGGAGGAAUGUGUGGUGUAGCGGUGAAAUGCAUAGAUAUCACACAGAACACCGAUUGCGAAGGCAUCUCACGAAUCCGCGAUUGACGCUGAUGCACGAAAGCGUGGGUAUCAAACAGGAUUAGAUACCCUUGUAGUC